This 172-nucleotide ribosomal RNA is filed under the name uncultured bacterium. RNAcentral describes it as "partial 16S ribosomal RNA". It matches the Rfam family "Bacterial small subunit ribosomal RNA", at positions 118 to 290 of the family's 1533-position model. The record is from RNAcentral.
UGAGCAAUCUGCCCUUCUCAUCGGAAUAAGCGUUGGAAACGACGUCUAAUGCCGAAUACGACCUCCUUUCGCAUGAUCGGAGGUGGAAAGCUCCGGCGGAGAAGGAUGAGCUCGCGGCCUAUCAGCUAGUUGGUGUGGGUAACGGCCCACCAAGGCGACGACGGGUAGCCGG